Molecule: ribosomal RNA, 2817 nt
Filed under: Staphylococcus aureus
Lineage: Bacteria; Bacillati; Bacillota; Bacilli; Caryophanales; Staphylococcaceae
Description: bacterial LSU rRNA
Rfam family: Bacterial large subunit ribosomal RNA
Source: RNAcentral
AGAUUAAUAACGCGUUUNNNNNNNNNNNNNNNNNNCGAUGAAGGACGUUACUAACGACGAUAUGCUUUGGGGAGCUGUAAGUAAGCUUUGAUCCAGAGAUUUCCGAAUGGGGAAACCCAGCAUGAGUUAUGUCAUGUUAUCGAUAUGUGAAUACAUAGCAUAUCAGAAGGCACACCCGGAGAACUGAAACAUCUUAGUACCCGGAGGAAGAGAAAGAAAAUUCGAUUCCCUUAGUAGCGGCGAGCGAAACGGGAAGAGCCCAAACCAACAAGCUUGCUUGUUGGGGUUGUAGGACACUCUAUACGGAGUUACAAAGGACGACAUUAGACGAAUCAUCUGGAAAGAUGAAUCAAAGAAGGUAAUAAUCCUGUAGUCGAAAAUGUUGUCUCUCUUGAGUGGAUCCUGAGUACGACGGAGCACGUGAAAUUCCGUCGGAAUCUGGGAGGACCAUCUCCUAAGGCUAAAUACUCUCUAGUGACCGAUAGUGAACCAGUACCGUGAGGGAAAGGUGAAAAGCACCCCGGAAGGGGAGUGAAAUAGAACCUGAAACCGUGUGCUUACAAGUAGUCAGAGCCCGUUAAUGGGUGAUGGCGUGCCUUUUGUAGAAUGAACCGGCGAGUUACGAUUUGAUGCAAGGUUAAGCAGUAAAUGUGGAGCCGUAGCGAAAGCGAGUCUGAAUAGGGCGUUUAGUAUUUGGUCGUAGACCCGAAACCAGGUGAUCUACCCUUGGUCAGGUUGAAGUUCAGGUAACACUGAAUGGAGGACCGAACCGACUUACGUUGAAAAGUGAGCGGAUGAACUGAGGGUAGCGGAGAAAUUCCAAUCGAACCUGGAGAUAGCUGGUUCUCUCCGAAAUAGCUUUAGGGCUAGCCUCAAGUGAUGAUUAUUGGAGGUAGAGCACUGUUUGGACGAGGGGCCCCUCUCGGGUUACCGAAUUCAGACAAACUCCGAAUGCCAAUUAAUUUAACUUGGGAGUCAGAACAUGGGUGAUAAGGUCCGUGUUCGAAAGGGAAACAGCCCAGACCACCAGCUAAGGUCCCAAAAUAUAUGUUAAGUGGAAAAGGAUGUGGCGUUGCCCAGACAACUAGGAUGUUGGCUUAGAAGCAGCCAUCAUUUAAAGAGUGCGUAAUAGCUCACUAGUCGAGUGACACUGCGCCGAAAAUGUACCGGGGCUAAACAUAUUACCGAAGCUGUGGAUUGUCCUUUGGACAAUGGUAGGAGAGCGUUCUAAGGGCGUUGAAGCAUGAUCGUAAGGACAUGUGGAGCGCUUAGAAGUGAGAAUGCCGGUGUGAGUAGCGAAAGACGGGUGAGAAUCCCGUCCACCGAUUGACUAAGGUUUCCAGAGGAAGGCUCGUCCGCUCUGGGUUAGUCGGGUCCUAAGCUGAGGCCGACAGGCGUAGGCGAUGGAUAACAGGUUGAUAUUCCUGUACCACCUAUAAUCGUUUUAAUCGAUGGGGGGACGCAGUAGGAUAGGCGAAGCGUGCGAUUGGAUUGCACGUCUAAGCAGUAAGGCUGAGUAUUAGGCAAAUCCGGUACUCAUUAAGGCUGAGCUGUGAUGGGGAGAAGACAUUGUGUCUUCGAGUCGUUGAUUUCACACUGCCGAGAAAAGCCUCUAGAUAGAAAAUAGGUGCCCGUACCGCAAACCGACACAGGUAGUCAAGAUGAGAAUUCUAAGGUGAGCGAGCGAACUCUCGUUAAGGAACUCGGCAAAAUGACCCCGUAACUUCGGGAGAAGGGGUGCUCUUUAGGGUUAACGCCCAGAAGAGCCGCAGUGAAUAGGCCCAAGCGACUGUUUAUCAAAAACACAGGUCUCUGCUAAACCGUAAGGUGAUGUAUAGGGGCUGACGCCUGCCCGGUGCUGGAAGGUUAAGAGGAGUGGUUAGCUUCUGCGAAGCUACGAAUCGAAGCCCCAGUAAACGGCGGCCGUAACUAUAACGGUCCUAAGGUAGCGAAAUUCCUUGUCGGGUAAGUUCCGACCCGCACGAAAGGCGUAACGAUUUGGGCACUGUCUCAACGAGAGACUCGGUGAAAUCAUAGUACCUGUGAAGAUGCAGGUUACCCGCGACAGGACGGAAAGACCCCGUGGAGCUUUACUGUAGCCUGAUAUUGAAAUUCGGCACAGCUUGUACAGGAUAGGUAGGAGCCUUUGAAACGUGAGCGCUAGCUUACGUGGAGGCGCUGGUGGGAUACUACCCUAGCUGUGUUGGCUUUCUAACCCGCACCACUUAUCGUGGUGGGAGACAGUGUCAGGCGGGCAGUUUGACUGGGGCGGUCGCCUCCUAAAAGGUAACGGAGGCGCUCAAAGGUUCCCUCAGAAUGGUUGGAAAUCAUUCAUAGAGUGUAAAGGCAUAAGGGAGCUUGACUGCGAGACCUACAAGUCGAGCAGGGUCGAAAGACGGACUUAGUGAUCCGGUGGUUCCGCAUGGAAGGGCCAUCGCUCAACGGAUAAAAGCUACCCCGGGGAUAACAGGCUUAUCUCCCCCAAGAGUUCACAUCGACGGGGAGGUUUGGCACCUCGAUGUCGGCUCAUCGCAUCCUGGGGCUGUAGUCGGUCCCAAGGGUUGGGCUGUUCGCCCAUUAAAGCGGUACGCGAGCUGGGUUCAGAACGUCGUGAGACAGUUCGGUCCCUAUCCGUCGUGGGCGUAGGAAAUUUGAGAGGAGCUGUCCUUAGUACGAGAGGACCGGGAUGGACAUACCUCUGGUGUACCAGUUGUCGUGCCAACGGCAUAGCUGGGUAGCUAUGUGUGGACGGGAUAAGUGCUGAAAGCAUCUAAGCAUGAAGCCCCCCUCAAGAUGAGAUUUCCCAACUUCGGUUAU